GUAUACAACGCUGAAGCGUUCUGCAAAUGAUAACUUGCAGAGGUUAUGUCAGCAUACGAAAUUUCCCGUGAAAGAUGUGUUGCGCGUUCAGCAUUGGUUAGAAGAAAUGAAGAGGAAGGAUUGGAAGCCAAACCGAAAUAGCACAUUGUGUUCAGCUCAUUUUACAAAUGAUUGCUUUGAUAGGACAGGAUUCCUAAUUACAUUGAAAAAGAACAGUGUACCAACUAUAUUUGACAACCCAAAAUCAGAGUGUUCAUCUUGUCACCGAUUAAAGGGAUAUGGACAUGGCUAUUCAUUCUUCAAGUUCCCAUUGGAUGAACCUGAUAUUAUGAAGCAAUGGAUCGCAAAUAUAAACAUUGGACCGUGGUCUCCAUCAAGUGAUAGCUUUCUGUGUUCCGACCACUUUGAACUCUCUUGCUUUCAGAAGAAAAGUAAAAAUUAUAUAACUUUACGAAAAGGCAGUAUCCCAACGUUAUUUGGUGAAAACUUGCAGCAGACCGAAUUUCAGGAUGAAUCCGAUCGGCCCACCACAGUGAAUGUAACCAAAUUACAUGAUCACCUACACAUUUGUACCUGAUUUGCAUGCUCAGCUCCACUUUGAUGAUCAAUGGAUGGUAAAUGGAUUCCCUAACGGUUGAAUUAGUGUUAUACAAAUUUUUGAAUAAUCCGUAUGGAAUUCAGCCCACCAUAGGAUAGAGGAUAAUGGACGGAAACUUCUUAGAAUUGAGGACUUCUUUUGAACAUGAAGAAAAAUCACGCUUAAAUACAAGUUUUUCGUCAU
RNAcentral lists this unclassified non-coding RNA (781 nucleotides) under Neodiprion lecontei (redheaded pine sawfly). Its description in RNAcentral is "uncharacterized LOC124295263, transcript variant X4". Lineage: Eukaryota; Metazoa; Arthropoda; Insecta; Hymenoptera; Diprionidae. The record is from RNAcentral.